Molecule: ribosomal RNA, 489 nt
Filed under: uncultured bacterium
Lineage: Bacteria
Description: partial 16S ribosomal RNA
Rfam family: Bacterial small subunit ribosomal RNA
Source: RNAcentral
GACGAACGCUGGCGGCGUGCUUAACACAUGCGAGUCGAACGGAAAGGCCCCCACCUUGGUGGGGGUGCUCGAGUGGCGAACGGGUGAGUAACACGUGGGUGAUCUGCCCUGUACUUCGGGAUAAGCUUGGGAAACUGGGUCUAAUACCGGAUAGGACCAUGGUUUAGUGUCUCAUGGUGGAAAAAUUAUUGUUUUGGUGCAGGAUGAGCUCGCGGCCUAUCAGCUUGUUGGUGGGGUAAUGGCCUACCAAGGCGUCGACGGGUAGCCGGCCUGAGAGGGUGGACGGCCCCAUUGGGACUGAGGUACGGCCCAGCCUCCUACGGGAGGCAGCGGUGGGGAAUAUUGCACAAUGGGCGCAAGCCUGAUGCAGCGACGCCGCGUGGGGGAUGACGGCCUUCGGGUUGUAAACUCCUUUCGUUAGGGACGAAGCCACACCUUUUUUGGGUGUGGUGACGGUACCUUUGUUAAGAAGCACCGGCUAACUACGUG